CUAGCUAUAGACGACCGUACCGCAAACCGACACUGGUGCGCGAGAUGAGUAUUCUAAGGCGCUUGAGAGAACUCUGGAGAAGGAACUCGGCAAAUUGACACCGUAACUUCGGAAGAAGGUGUGCCUUUAGUAGGUGAACCAUUUACUUGGCGAGCCCAAUGAGGUUGCAAGAAAUCGGUGGCUGCGACUGUUUAUUAAAAACACAGCACUCUGCAAAGACGAAAGUCGACGUAUAGGGUGUGACGCCUGCCCGGUGCUGGAAGAUAAAAUGAUGGGGUGCAAGCUCUUGAUUGAAGUCCCAGUAAACGGCGGCCGUAACAAUAACGGUCCUAAGGUAGCGAAAUUCCUUGUCGGGUAAGUUCCGACCUGCACGAAUGGCGUAACGAUGGCCACACUGUCUCCUCCAGAGACUCAGCGAAGUUGAAAUGUUUGUGAUGAUGCAAUCUCCCCGCGGAAAGACGGAAAGACCCCAUGAACCUUUACUGUAGCUUUACAUUGGACUUUGAACAGAUCUGUGUAGGAUAGGUGGGAGGCUUUGAAGCGGUGCCGCUAGGUGUCGUGGAGCCAACCUUGAAAUACCACCCUGGUGUGUUUGAGGUUCUAACCUUGACCCGUUAUCCGGGUUGGGGACAGUGUAUGGUGGGCAGUUUGACUGGGGCGGUCUCCUCCUAAAGCGUAACGGAGGAGUUCGAAGGUACGCUAGGCACGGUCGGAAAUCGUGCUGAUAGUGCAUAGGCAUAAGCGUGCUUGACUGCGAGACUGACAAGUCGAGCAGGUACGAAAGUAGGACUAAGUGAUCCGGUGGUUCUGUAUGGAAGGGCCAUCGCUCAACGGAUAAAAGGUACUCUGGGGAUAACAGGCUGAUACCGCCCAAGAGUUCAUAUCGACGGCGGUGUUUGGCACCUCGAUGUCGGCUCAUCUCAUCCUGGGGCUGUAGCCGGUCCCAAGGGUAUGGCUGUUCGCCAUUUAAAGAGGUACGUGAGCUGGGUUUAAAACGUCGUGAGACAGUUUGGUCCCUAUCUUCCGUGGGCGCUGCAAGAUUGAGAGAGCCUGCUCCUAGUACGAGAGGACCGGAGUGGACGCACCUCUGGUGUAUCGGUUGUCACGCCAGUGGCAUUGCCGAGUAGCUAAGUGCGGAAGAGAUAACCGCUGAAAGCAUCUAAGCGGGAAACUCGUCUCAAGAUGAGUCUUGCCGGGGCCUUGAGCCCCCUGAAGAGUCGUUCGAGACCAGGACGUUGAUAGGCCGGGUGUGGAAGCGCAGUAAUGCGUUGAGCUAACCGGUACUAAUUGCUCGUGCGGCUUGACCCU
Molecule: ribosomal RNA, 1308 nt
Filed under: metagenome
Description: bacterial LSU rRNA
Rfam family: Bacterial large subunit ribosomal RNA
Source: RNAcentral